UACGUAGGUGGCGAGCGUUAUCCGGAUUUACUGGGUAUAAAGGGCGCGUAGGCGGGGAUGCAAGUCAGGUGUGAAAUCUAGGGGCUCAACCCCUAAACUGCACUUGAAACUGCGUUUCCUGAGUGUCGGAGAGGUUGACGGAAUUCCUAGUGUAGCGGUGAAAUGCGUAGAUAUUAGGAGGAACACCAGUGGCGAAGGCGGUCAACUGGACGAUAACUGACGCUGAGGCGCGAAAGCGUGGGGAGCAAAC
Molecule: ribosomal RNA, 250 nt
Filed under: uncultured prokaryote
Description: partial 16S ribosomal RNA
Rfam family: Bacterial small subunit ribosomal RNA
Source: RNAcentral